This 344-nucleotide long non-coding RNA is filed under the name Nicotiana benthamiana. Its description in RNAcentral is "long non-coding RNA (NBEN_LNC018833)". Lineage: Eukaryota; Viridiplantae; Streptophyta; Magnoliopsida; Solanales; Solanaceae. The record is from RNAcentral.
CAAGACAUCCACUGAGUGAAGAUCGAAGCAUCAAACAACAGUAAAAGCUCCGAUUAUCCGUUCAGUACACAUCGUUCUCUCGGUAAACAAAAUCUCUCACAAAUAUCCGAGAAAAACCUUCAAUAAAACUUCCAACGCAAUCGAUAACAAGUAACGGAGAUGAAUCCGAGGAUCAUCCCGCUCUGAUACCAUAAAAACGUAAGGAUUGAUGGCAAAGUUGAUGAAGAACUUAGUGAGAGAAAGAGAGAGAAACUGAAGAAUCUGAUACCAUGAAAACGUAAGGAUUGAAGGCAAAGUUGAUGAAGAACUGAGUGAGAGAAACUGAAGAACUCUCUGGAACAACC